This 208-nucleotide ribosomal RNA is filed under the name Triticum aestivum (bread wheat). RNAcentral describes it as "rRNA LSU_rRNA_eukarya". It matches the Rfam family "Eukaryotic large subunit ribosomal RNA", at positions 1172 to 1379 of the family's 3401-position model. Lineage: Eukaryota; Viridiplantae; Streptophyta; Magnoliopsida; Poales; Poaceae. The record is from Rfam by way of RNAcentral.
AAGCCGGGUUACGGUGCCCAACUGCGCGCUAACCUAGAACCCACAAAGGGUGUUGGUCGAUUAAGACAGCAGGACGGUGGUCAUGGAAGUAGAAAUCCGCUAAGGAGUGUGUAACAACUCACCUGCCGAAUCAACUAGCCCCGAAAAUGGAUGGCGCUGAAGCGCGCGACCCACACCCGGCCAUCUGGGCGAGCGCCAUGCCCCGAUG